AUGGAAUGGCCGGUUCUUCAGGAGACCAAAAUCUGGUUGCGUGGGGUGUCCACGCUCCCUUCGCGACCAUAUCCACAUAAGGGGAUCAUUGUUAAACCUGUUGGUGUGAGGGCCUUGGUGGUUAUUCCAGAAGGCACAAUCCCGCCACGACAGCCAAGCACCAUUAUUGGAUGUCUUUGUAGGCAUUAUUACCCCGGCCUACUUCCCAUAGGAGACGGUGAGGAGGAGCCAGCUUGGUCUUGGGAGCACUGGAAACGCGCUCCAGAUACGAAAGACAAUUGGGACAGGGAGUACCGCAGUGCUGCUGAGCGGGACUUCUUUACUUGCGUUGAGGGUAUGGAGGAUGAAGCUAAUGAGGUCGUGGAGGAGAUUGCCAAGAAGAUUGUCCAAGACAUGCCUUACGAGGCUCGCGUCAAUGCCGUGGUCAAGUAUUUCGCGCAUGAACGCAAGAUGCUUCUUAAAAAGCCGUGUACUGUAAGCCGUGAAAAACACUCGGCUUAUAUAUAA
This 507-nucleotide ribosomal RNA is filed under the name Triticum aestivum (bread wheat). RNAcentral's name for it is "partial small subunit ribosomal RNA". The record is from RNAcentral. Lineage: Eukaryota; Viridiplantae; Streptophyta; Magnoliopsida; Poales; Poaceae.